Molecule: ribosomal RNA, 253 nt
Filed under: uncultured bacterium
Lineage: Bacteria
Description: partial 16S ribosomal RNA
Rfam family: Bacterial small subunit ribosomal RNA
Source: RNAcentral
UACGGAGGGUGCAAACGUUGCUCGGAAUCAUUGGGCGUAAAGCGCACGUAGGCGGACUGUUAAGUCGGAUGUGAAAUCCCUCAGCUUAACUGAGGAAGUGCACUCGAAACUGGCAGUCUUGAGUAUGGAAGAGGGUCGCGGAAUUCCCGGUGUAGAGGUGAAAUUCGUAGAUAUCGGGAGGAACACCAGUGGCGAAGGCGGCGACCUGGGAAGAUACUGACGCUGAGGUGCGAAAGCGUGGGUAGCAAACAGG